RNAcentral lists this ribosomal RNA (683 nucleotides) under uncultured Serratia sp. RNAcentral describes it as "bacterial SSU rRNA". It matches the Rfam family "Bacterial small subunit ribosomal RNA", at positions 833 to 1516 of the family's 1533-position model. Lineage: Bacteria; Pseudomonadati; Pseudomonadota; Gammaproteobacteria; Enterobacterales; Yersiniaceae. The record is from RNAcentral.
UGAGGCGUGGCUUCCGGAGCUAACGCGUUAAGUCGACCGCCUGGGGAGUACGCCCGCAAAGGUAAAACUCAAAUGAAUUGACGGGGGCCCGCACAAGCGGUGGAGCAUGUGGUUUAAUUCGAUGCAACGCGAAGAACCUUACCUACUCUUGACAUCCAGAGAACUUUCCAGAGACGGAUUGGUGCCUUCGGGAACUCUGAGACAGGUGCUGCAUGGCUGUCGUCAGCUCGUGUUGUGAAAUGUUGGGUUAAGUCCCGCAACGAGCGCAACCCUUAUCCUUUGUUGCCAGCGGUUAGGCCGGGAACUCAAAGGAGACUGCCAGUGAUAAACUGGAGGAAGGUGGGGAUGACGUCAAGUCAUCAUGGCCCUUACGAGUAGGGCUACACACGUGCUACAAUGGCGCAUACAAAGAGAAGCGACCUCGCGAGAGCAAGCGGACCUCAUAAAGUGCGUCGUAGUCCGGAUUGGAGUCUGCAACUCGACUCCAUGAAGUCGGAAUCGCUAGUAAUCGUAGAUCAGAAUGCUACGGUGAAUACGUUCCCGGGCCUUGUACACACCGCCCGUCACACCAUGGGAGUGGGUUGCAAAAGAAGUAGGUAGCUUAACCUUCGGGAGGGCGCUUACCACUUUGUGAUUCAUGACUGGGGUGAAGUCGUAACAAGGUAACCAAGGGCGAAUUCCAG